CCUACGGGGGGCAGCAGUGGGGAAUUUUGCGCAAUGCUCGUAAGAGUGACGCCGCGACGCCGCGUGAAUGACGAAGGCCUUCGGGUCGUACAGUUCUUUCGACAGGGAAGAAAAUGCAUAUAAGUAACUGUGUAUGUAUUGACGGUACCUGUAUAAGCAGCCCCGGCUAACUCCGUGCCAGCAGCCGCGGUAAUACGGAGGGUGCGAGCGUUGUUCGGAGUGACUGGGCGUAAAGAGCACGUAGGCGGUGGUGUAAGUCAUUAGGCAAAGACUAGAGCUGAACUUUAGUAAGGAUAGUGAUACUAUAAUACUAGAGUAUCAGAGAGGAUUGCAGAAUUCCUGGUGUAGCGGUGAAAUGAGUAGAUAUCAGGAGGAAUACCGUUAGCGAAGGCGGCAAUCUGGCUGGAAACUGACGCUGAGGUGCGAAAGCGUGGGUAGCAAACAGGAGUAGAUACCCUUGUAGUC
This 465-nucleotide ribosomal RNA is filed under the name uncultured bacterium. RNAcentral's name for it is "partial 16S ribosomal RNA". It matches the Rfam family "Bacterial small subunit ribosomal RNA", at positions 338 to 795 of the family's 1533-position model. The record is from RNAcentral.